ACGCUGACAGAAUGCUUAACACAUGCAAGUCUAUGAGGAAGUUUAGCUUGCUAAAUGGACUCAUGGCGGACGGGUGAGUAACGCGUAAAGAACUUGCCCUUUAGACUGGGAUAACAGAGGGAAACUUCUGAUAAUACUGGAUAAGUUAGUAUAUCGCAUGAUAUGCAAAUGAAAGCUACGGCACUAAAGGAGAGCUUUGCGUCCUAUUAGCUAGUUGGUAAGGUAAGAGCUUACCAAGGCGAUGAUAGGUAGCCGGCCUGAGAGGGUGGACGGCCACAAGGGGACUGGGAUACGGCCCUUACUCCUACGGGAGGCAGCAGUGGGGAAUAUUGGACAAUGGAGGGAACUCUGAUCCAGCAAUUCUGUGUGUGUGAAGAAGGUUUUAGGACUGUAAAACACUUUUAGUAGGGAAGAAAAAAAUGACGGUACCUACAGAAGAAGCAACGGCUAAAUACGUGCCAGCAGCCGCGGUAAUACGUAUGUUGCGAGCGUUAUCCGGAAUUAUUGGGCUUAAAGGGCAUCUAGGCGGUAAGACAAGUUGAAGGUGAAAACCUGUGGCUCAACCAUAGGCUUGCCUACAAAACUGUUGAACUAGAGUACUGGAAAGGUGGGUGGAACUACACGAGUAGAGGUGAAAUUCGUAGAUAUGUGUAGGAAUGCCGAUGAUGAAGAUAACUCACUGGACAGAAACUGACGCUGAAGUGCGAAAGCUAGGGGAGCAAACAGGAUUAGAUACCCUGGUAGUCCUAGCUGUAAACGAUGAUCACUGGGUGUGGGGAUGCGAAGUCUCUGUGCCGAAACAAAAGCGAUAAGUGAUCCGCCUGGGGAGUACGUUCGCAAGAAUGAAACUCAAAGGAAUUGACGGGGGCCCGCACAAGUGGUGGAGCAUGUGGUUUAAUUCGACGCAACGC
This 911-nucleotide ribosomal RNA is filed under the name uncultured bacterium. Its description in RNAcentral is "bacterial SSU rRNA". It matches the Rfam family "Bacterial small subunit ribosomal RNA", at positions 33 to 962 of the family's 1533-position model. The record is from RNAcentral.